CAGUCGCCGCGGUAAUACGAAGGGGGCUAGCGUUGUUCGGAAUUACUGGGCGUAAAGCGCACGUAGGCGGAUAUUUAAGUCAGGAGUGAAAUCCCAGAGCUCAACUCUGGAACUGCCUUUGAUACUGGGUAUCUUGAGUAUGGAAGAGGUGAGUGGAAUUCCGAGUGUAGAGGUGAAAUUCGUAGAUAUUCGGAGGAACACCAGUGGCGAAGGCGACUCUCUGGUCUGUAACUGACGCUGAGGAGCGAAAGCGUGGGGAGCGAACAGGAUUAGAUACCCCUGUAGUCCCUGUCUCUUAUAC
RNAcentral lists this ribosomal RNA (301 nucleotides) under uncultured bacterium. RNAcentral describes it as "partial 16S ribosomal RNA". It matches the Rfam family "Bacterial small subunit ribosomal RNA", at positions 509 to 807 of the family's 1533-position model. The record is from RNAcentral.